UCGAUUAAGUCAAUACAAUUGAAUACAAAAAACAGUUUUAAUCGAUUUAAUCUAUGAAGUGAGCAGGCGCAAGCACACUUCCACACACUGGAAGCUCUCCAAAUUCAAUUAGCUUCGAUCAACUCGAUCAGUUGGUGCGCAUUGUUGUCACAAUGUUUGCCCUCUUUUCUGCAUUGGCAUUUAUGCCAAGACAAACCGAGACAACUUCAACGCCAACCAGUGCAGCUCUCAAGUGCCCCGAAGGCUGAUAGAUAUGUAUAAAGUACUACUAUUAUAUUAUUACGUCGAAGACUCUCUAGUGUCUUAUUUAUGUAUAAAUAAACAUCUGUCUAUCAACGUGUACUAUAUCCCUCAGACUUCGCUCCGGAUUAGAUAAGAAGUGCAAUUUUGAUUGUAACUAUGCAGAGCGGAACUGCAAUUUAUCGGGCAGGUGUGGUUCAAGAUUCUAAUCGGGAUCAAUGUGCAAGUGCCUUCACCUCUCAGAGUUCCGGUUAGUUCUUCUACAAUAGCAACGGUAUCAUGUGAAUUGGGCAAAUCAUUAUCAGCUUCGCAUCCCGUGGACUUCUAUUCGUCUGUCUGUUGGUGCAAAUGUCUAAAACGUUUAUCACUUGCUUCGUUCCAGGGCAUGGCUUGGCACACGAAUACGUGCUUAGCUUCGAUUGCAAAUCGCAGAUCGUGUUACGGGGAGACUUGUACCCACUUGUUCGAUGCCUGUGCCGUGUGUCCCUGUCUUCUAUGUGUGCGUGUGUGUGCGUGUGUAUGUGUAUGUGUGUGUGUGUGGCGUGGCGUGGCGUUGCGACCACUCGACGGUUUAUUAAAUAGAUUAAUUAGCAAAUAUUAUGAUUAUAGCGUUCAGUUCAGUUGAGUGCACAUACUUUUUAAGUGGUGCUUAUAUGUGUACAACGUUGUACAUACAAAUCUCUAUAUGCAUGUAG
Long non-coding RNA from Drosophila nasuta, 935 nucleotides. RefSeq lists it as uncharacterized. The record is from RefSeq and is a predicted model, not a curated record. The transcript is spliced from 3 exons. Lineage: Eukaryota; Metazoa; Arthropoda; Insecta; Diptera; Drosophilidae.